UCGGGGGUCCUAUAAGCCAUGCGAGUCAUGGGGCGCGCUCUGCGCGCACCGGCGGACGGCUCAGUAACACGUCGGUAACCUACCCUCGGGAGGGGGAUAACCCCGGGAAACUGGGGCUAAUCCCCCAUAGGCCUGGGGUACUGGAAGGUCCCCAGGCCGAAAGGGGCUUUUGCCCGCCCGAGGAUGGGCCGGCGGCCGAUUAGGUAGUUGGUGGGGUAACGGCCCACCAAGCCGAAGAUCGGUACGGGCCAUGAGAGUGGGAGCCCGGAGAUGGACACUGAGACACGGGUCCAGGCCCUACGGGGCGCAGCAGGCGCGAAACCUCCGCAAUGCGGGCAACCGCGACGGGGGGACCCCCAGUGCCGUGGCACAGCCACGGCUUUUCCGGAGUGUAAAAAGCUCCGGGAAUAAGGAGCUGGGCAAGGCCGGUGGCAGCCGCCGCGGUAAUACCGGCGGCCCAAGUGGUGGCCGCUAUUAUUGGGCCUAAAGCGUCCGUAGCCGGGCCCGUAAGUCCCUGGCGAAAUCCCACGGCUCAACCGUGGGGCUUGCUGGGGAUACUGCGGGCCUUGGGACCGGGAGAGGCCGGGGGUACCCCUGGGGUAGGGGUGAAAUCCUAUAAUCCCAGGGGGACCGCCAGUGGCGAAGGCGCCCGGCUGGAACGGGUCCGACGGUGAGGGACGAAGGCCAGGGGAGCGAACCGGAUUAGAUACCCGGGUAGUCCUGGCUGUAAAGGAUGCGGGCUAGGUGUCGGGCGAGCUUCGAGCUCGCCCGGUGCCGGAGGGAAGCCGUUAAGCCCGCCGCCUGGGGAGUACGGCCGCAAGUGCUGAAACUUAAAGGAAUUGGCGGGGGAGCACU
This 855-nucleotide ribosomal RNA is filed under the name uncultured archaeon. RNAcentral's name for it is "bacterial SSU rRNA". It matches the Rfam family "Archaeal small subunit ribosomal RNA", at positions 32 to 880 of the family's 1478-position model. The record is from RNAcentral.